CAGCCGUCGUCAGACUUGCGCAGCACCUCGACCACGCAGCCGAUGGCCACGCCCACCUCGUCGCUCUUGGAGGUGGAGUAGUUCCUCACGGCGCAGUACAGGGACCCUGAAGGCAACACGCAGACCACCCGUCAACAUCUGCAGGAGGUUGUGGACAGAGUCCGGUCCGGGUGAUCCGGUCCGGGUGAUGAAUUGUGACUCACCUCCCAGGAACCUUCCCUCCUCUUCCUCCUCUUCCUCGUCUUCCUCCUCACAGAGCUCCAGAUUCUUCCUGACUCACAUGAAAUGACCGGAAGUCCUGGAAGGACCUGUAGACGAUCACUUCCGACUCAUCGGACCAGAGAACGGACAGCAUGAAGCCUCCAGACUUCAUCAUCUUCAUCAUCUUCAUCAUCUUCAUCAUCUUCAUCAUCUUCAUCAGAAAACUUUCACUUUGUCUUGAAAAACAGAUUUUUGAUCUGAAACCUGGUUCAAUAAAGUUAUUAUCAUAAUUAUUAGGGAGAAUAGAAGGACAAACUCAAACUCUGGAUGUGUGCAGGAUGAACCCCUGGAGAAAUGAGAGUUCGGACCCGACCCACAGGGAGCCAGCAGAACCAGUUUGGCUCCUGGUUCCCCUCCCACUGCAGAACAAGCAGAUUCAGCAUUCAGCAAUGCGAGGCGUUCUAUUGUUCUGCUUGUCAAACAGGAUCUGACUUUCUGGAAGCAUAAAAUACCUGAAGGUCGUCAGACUGGAUCAGAUCAGAACCAGAAACACAAACAUCCGUCAGUAUUUCUCAU
Poeciliopsis prolifica (blackstripe livebearer) is the source of this 777-nucleotide long non-coding RNA. RefSeq lists it as uncharacterized. NCBI's taxonomy places the organism in Eukaryota, Metazoa, Chordata, Actinopteri, Cyprinodontiformes, Poeciliidae. The transcript has 3 exons. The record is from RefSeq and is a predicted model, not a curated record.